This 253-nucleotide ribosomal RNA is filed under the name uncultured bacterium. Its description in RNAcentral is "partial 16S ribosomal RNA". It matches the Rfam family "Bacterial small subunit ribosomal RNA", at positions 524 to 776 of the family's 1533-position model. The record is from RNAcentral.
UACAGAGGGGGCAAGCGUUGUUCGGAAUUACUGGGCGUAAAGGGUUUGUAGGUGGCCAACUAAGUCAGACGUGAAAUCCCUCAGCUUAACUGGGGAACUGCGUCUGAUACUGGUUGGCUUGAGUGCAGGAGAGGAAUGCGGAAUUCCAGGUGUAGCGGUGAAAUGCGUAGAUAUCUGGAGGAACACCGGUGGCGAAGGCGGCAUUCUGGACUGCAACUGACACUGAAGAACGAAAGCCAGGGGAGCAAACGGG